Molecule: small RNA, 477 nt
Filed under: Histoplasma capsulatum var. duboisii H88
Lineage: Eukaryota; Fungi; Ascomycota; Eurotiomycetes; Onygenales; Ajellomycetaceae
Description: Histoplasma capsulatum H88 hypothetical RNA
Source: RNAcentral
ACCUGAGCCUGAAGCAAAGUUGAUGCGGGAAAAGGGCCAUUCAGUACUAAUACCCCCUAGCAUUAAUGAGCCAGACAAGUGUUCACUGAUAUAGUCCUCAGAUCAAUUCUUUUUUGUUUUUAAAUUAGCGAACUAUUUUACUUUUUUAUUUUAUUUAAUUCAUUUCCAUUGCGUUUGUCCUUCGGCCCAUCUGUAAUGGAAUUGCUGCGUGCGUGGCAGUGGAUUAUUGCUGGUUUGAAGGGCAGACAUGCAAGAAGAAGCUGCAGCAUAAAUCAGUCAAUCAGCUGAAUAGAAUGUCAGUAAAAGAUGAAAAGACUUAGUAGUGUGUGCAAGAAGGCCUUCCGUUGGGGAUGUUUCUUCAACUGUGGGUGAAGAUUAACGCAUCCCUCUUAACUUUCCUUUUUCUAAAAGUCUAAACAGCUUACAGAUAUCAGAUUCUGCGAAAGCGGCGAUUGAGUGAGCGCCAGUAGUAGGGGG